Molecule: ribosomal RNA, 497 nt
Filed under: uncultured bacterium
Lineage: Bacteria
Description: partial 16S ribosomal RNA
Rfam family: Bacterial small subunit ribosomal RNA
Source: RNAcentral
GAUGAACGCUGGCGGCGUGCCUAAUACAUGCCGGUCGAGCGAACAGACGAGGAGCUUGCUCCUCUGACGUUAGCGGCGGACGGGUGAGUAACACGUGGAUAACCUACCUAUAAGACUGGGAUAACUUCGGGAAACCGGAGCUAAUACCGGAUAAUAUAUUGAACCGCAUGGUUCAAUAGUGAAAGACGGUUUUGCUGUCACUUAUAGAUGGAUCCGCGCCGCAUUAGCUAGUUGGUAAGGUAACGGCUUACCAAGGCGACGAUGCGUAGCCGACCUGAGAGGGUGAUCGGCCACACUGGAACUGAGACACGGUCCAGACUCCUACGGGAGGCAGCAGUAGGGAAUCUUCCGCAAUGGGCGAAAGCCUGACGGAGCAACGCCGCGUGAGUGAUGAAGGUCUUCGGAUCGUAAAACUCUGUUAUUAGGGAAGAACAAAUGUGUAAGUAACUAUGCACGUCUUGACGGUACCUAAUCAGAAAGCCACGGCUAACUACGUG